Esox lucius (northern pike) is the source of this 680-nucleotide long non-coding RNA. The record is from Ensembl. NCBI's taxonomy places the organism in Eukaryota, Metazoa, Chordata, Actinopteri, Esociformes, Esocidae.
UACCGCCGCGGUGAAUAAAUCACGUUGCGUCAAGCUCCGUAAAUCGAUCCACUCUGCGCUUCCACGCAUUCUUUGUUGGAGUGCACCCGUGGAGUUUUUCCCCACAGGAUGAAAUACUGCUUUUUAUUUUUCGGGCCUGUCAAGAAACUUGAGCAGUUAUUCCCAGUCCGGCGCCGCUGAAUUAAUGGAGAAUUAAAGAGCAUCGGCUGAGUGAAGCCUCUCAGAAUCCCAACCCAGAUGAAAGCCAAGCCGAUGCCCUACGGGCCACGGAGGCGUAAACCGUGACAGCGUGCCCCGCCCAGUGCCACCCUUGCCACCUCCUGGCCACAGCGGCAGGGGCGGACAAAGCUGUUCUAUCGAUUGACCUAACAGAGGGAUUGAUUGAGGCGCAUUUGCAUGGAGAUCUGUUCCACGGCGGCUUAGAGAUCCUGAUCGAUCGCCCGGGAUUGAAGUGUAGUCGUCUCUGGAUGCUUUUCAGAGGUUGAGAACCUUGCAGUCCAUCUCUCAUGGGGGCAAGCGAUGAACAUUUCCCCUUAUUCGAAAUCAAGACUCAUCAGACCAGGCAACAUUCUUCCAGUCUUCAACUGUCCAAUUUUGAGGGAGAUCCAUUCACUUUGAAAAAUGUGGCAUUCAAAUGUCAAAAGGAAGGGGUUUCAGGACUGCCUCGUGAAAUCUGACCA